AUUUAAGUACAUGUCAAGCUAGACCAUUAGUUGCACAAAUAUUCGAGUACACGUCAAACUAGACCCUUCCCGGGCACACAUAUUUGUCAAUCUGGCGCACCCACGAGAGACAUACAUACAUAUGAAGUGAUACAUAAGAUGACAUGAUCAUUUCUAGUGCAUGGCCGGUAAGAAUGAGUGUGAAGGACUUAAGGAUCACACUGAACAAUCAUUGCUUUAAAAAAUUGUAUCAGCUUUGCUAUCCUGAUGGUAUAUGACAGAAAGUUCUUCUCUUGCCUCCAGUUAUACUGUUUCUUGCCCUUGGAACUUCAUAUGCCUGGGAAAGAUCACACAAAACAAAUACUGUUUUUAUUUGCUUAGAACCAGGUGAGACAGCAACAACUAAGAUUCUCUAGAAGCUGUAAAUAAUUCUUCAAAAUGACCCAAGAGCAAUGGCAGGGGCAGAGCUUAGUACUAGUCAAUGAGCUCUAAACUACUCAUCAUACCCAGAGCAUAACAUGUGUUCUACACCAAAAUCCAGAUGUCUGACUUCUCAAUCUCCUGAAACAAAACAAAUUCAAAAUUCAGAAGUCAUCUCCAAUUGCAUGGUUGCAAAUUAGAAGGCUACAGGCUGCACCACGCAUGCCGGUGCAGCUCAGGUAGCUAGCUAGCUAGCUCUCUCUGCUCUGCAUAUGUACUUCUACUGUUUCUGUAAUGUUGUUAAACCCUUGUUGGCUAACUGUUAGUCACAAAUACACAUAUAUCUAUUAUUUGAUGUCUCCAAUCGAGGUGUCUCCCACCAGCUAGCUACUGGAGUGUGAAACAAUUGACCGACGUCAGUUCAUCAAAAGCCUUGAGUUUUGUUAGUUAAAUCUGCAAUAUGCAUACCCCCAUGCCAGCAAGCACACUAGCUCGGAACAACAACAAAUUCUUAACCAGCUAGCUAACCAAACAUGGUGCAGGUUAAUUAGAUGGACGAACAUUAUUGCCUCGGCUUGAUUUUGCCGGAUAUGCAUAUGUUGCCCAACCAUUGACGAGUUUCCGCACAACAUGUCACUUGUGCUCCAUAAUCAAGGGAAAUUAUAUUCACUUUUCAAUCACCGCUUGAAAGCAAUUCAACUAGAAGCCAGCUAAAUUUAGCUAAUAAUUUGACCGAUGUACGCGUAAGAUCCGCAAUUGAAGGAAUGCAAAAUUGAUAACUGUGUGCACUCUAGGCAUACUUCCCCUAGCUAGAUCCAUAGUCAAUUCAGGCAAAGACAUGUGCACUGCCUCCGAAAUAUUCAUGCUUUGAUUCAAUACUCAAUCUGAUCCAAAAUAAACCACGACACUUAUUUUUAGAUCGGAGGGAGCAACUAGUAUAGAAUCUGCACUUGUGGUGCAAAAAUAGAAAAAUGCAUUCUGGGCCGUGGAUUGAAGAUGAAUGGCACAGAGGUACCUCCUGCCACUUAAUGUGUAUUUUUACAAAAACCACCCGCUAGUAGUCAGAUAUAAAACAUGACUUUCAUUGUAAACACCUUACCUUUCUCAUAUUCGUUCAUUUUGUCCUUGGUACAUAAGACUAACUUUCAAAACGUCACAGUUGAUGCUUCAGCUUUAUACUUGUCUAAUGGAUGGUUUCAUGUAUAUAUAAGUACAGUACUGGCUUCUACUAUAUGUGUAUCAAUCGUGCAAGAAAACUAAACAAGUUGGUUACCAAAGUGUGUCAAUAUGUAUCACAAAUAUAAGUGAAGAUGAGAAAAUUAAGUCAAGCUAGACCAUUUCAGGCACAUGUUAGACUGGACAAUUCCAGGCACAAAUAUUGGAAUUAUUUAAGUACAUGUCAAGCUAGACCAUCAGUUGCACAAAUAUUCGAGUACACGUCAAACUAGACCCUUCUCGGGCACACAUAUUUGUCAAUCUGGCGCACCCACGAGAGACAUACAUACAUAUGAAGUGAUACAUAAGAUGACAUGAUCAUUUCUAGUGCAUGGCCGGUAAGAAUGAGUGUGAAGGACUUAAGGAUCACACUGAACAAUCAUUGCUUUAAAAAAUUGUAUCAGCUUUGCUAUCCUGAUGGUAUAUGACAGAAAGUUCUUCUCUUGCCUCCAGUUAUACUGUUUCUUGCCCUUGGAACUUCAUAUGCCUGGGAAAGAUCACACAAAACAAAUACUGUUUUUAUUUGCUUAGAACCAGGUGAGACAGCAACAACUAAGAUUCUCUAGAAGCUGUAAAUAAUUCUUCAAAAUGACCCAAGAGCAACGGCAGGGGCAGAGCUUAGUACUAGUCAAUGAGCUCUAAACUACUCAUCAUACCCAGAGCAUAACAUGUGUUCUACACCAAAAUCCAGAUG
Molecule: long non-coding RNA, 2308 nt
Filed under: Triticum aestivum (bread wheat)
Lineage: Eukaryota; Viridiplantae; Streptophyta; Magnoliopsida; Poales; Poaceae
Description: long non-coding RNA (TAES_LNC017687)
Source: RNAcentral